RNAcentral lists this ribosomal RNA (253 nucleotides) under uncultured bacterium. RNAcentral describes it as "partial 16S ribosomal RNA". It matches the Rfam family "Bacterial small subunit ribosomal RNA", at positions 524 to 776 of the family's 1533-position model. The record is from RNAcentral.
UACAGAGGGUGCAAACGUUGUUCGGAUUUACUGGGCGUAAAGCGCGCGCAGGCGGCGGUGCUGGCCCGGCGUGAAAGCCCCCGGCUCAACCGGGGAGGGUCGUCGGGGACCGCACCGCUUGAGGGCGGUAGGGGCUGGUGGAAUGCCUGGUGUAGUGGUGAAAUGCGUAGAGAUCAGGCGGAACACCCGUGGCGAAGGCGGCCAGCUGGGCCGUCCCUGACGCUGAGGCGCGAAGGCGUGGGGAGCGAACAGG